Non-coding RNA from Pelobates cultripes (western spadefoot toad), 208 nucleotides. Lineage: Eukaryota; Metazoa; Chordata; Amphibia; Anura; Pelobatidae. The record is from the annotation of a GenBank genome assembly.
CCUGCUUGCGUCUUUACCUGUACAGCGACUUGGAGCAAUAUCCUGCACAGCCCCUGUGCACAGACUCACAGGCUAGGUGAAUUCUUACCUGACCACCUUGGCCUAUGUUUAAUUGCAAGGGUGAGCAUAAAUCUCUGCCUACUGGACUCACAACUAAGGUAAGCAAUGACACUACCAACAAGUAGGUUUAAAUGAUUAGAAAAUCAUG